Molecule: transfer RNA, 67 nt
Filed under: Pseudolimnophila brunneinota
Lineage: Eukaryota; Metazoa; Arthropoda; Insecta; Diptera; Limoniidae
Description: tRNA-Phe
Rfam family: tRNA
About the family: Transfer RNA (tRNA) molecules are approximately 80 nucleotides in length.
Source: RNAcentral
AUUUAAAUAGCUUAUUUAUUAGAGCGUAACACUGAAGAUGUUAAAGAGGUUAUUAAAUCUUUAAAUA